ACAAAAAAACCUUUACCCCAUGCUCUCCUGAAAAAAAUUAAAGGGAAAAUUUAUAGACCAGGAACAGUUGAGGUAGACAAAAGCAAGUCAAACAGAUUGUAUAAAUGAACAAAAUUCUUAAGUCAAGAGAAGAAUGCUUAUAUGUCACAGACGGAAAACUGGUAACUUCCUUAUUAGGACAGAAAUUUGGGAGAUCGAGAAAAAAAAAACAAAAAACAACAAAAAACGUGCACAUCAGUUGCAUAGCAGAAAUUCACACCGAGGGAGCCUUCACAAGAAAGAAAAUCCGCAGCAGGGCUCCACGGAAAAAGCCGUCGGGAGGGUGGGAGCAGCCCCCGCCGUGCGGCGGCACUGACGCGGUGGGGGCGGAGUCGGGGGCUGACAGCAUAAAAAACGUGCCACGAGGGAGCUGAGCAAACAGGACGUCCGGGCACACAGAGCGUGGCGCGUCAGAACGGCGUGAGGCGGCAGCUCGUGCAGGGCGGUUGGGCGAGCGAGCAGGCGAGUACCCUAAAGGCUACAGAGAUAAGUUCAUUAGGUGAUUAUCAGCUGCAAAGUUCAGGCUCAUCACACUCUGAAGUGCAGGAUUAUCCUCUCAAGGACCGAGACUUAAUCAUGGUAUCCACCCGAAGGAGAGCUAGGGUGUCACACAUGUCAGGAAGGAUGUUGCAACACUUCAGACCUCCGGAUGUGUACAGCGCCUGAGCCUCUCACUGUCUCCGUGGGGCAACCAUCAGAACAGCUGUGUGACUGCGAGCAGACUGACGGCCUACUCAGCCUCGUGGCCAAACUACAAGAUGAAAACGUGUCAUUGGGAACAAAAAGGAGGAGCAGGGAAACCACUGUUCAUCCAUGCACAAACAGGUAGAGAUGAAGCAAUUUCAGGUAGGUCAAGGACUAUCAAAAUCGACCUCAGGACUUUGGAACAACAGCUAAAGGAACUGAAUGAACAGAUCAUCUUCUCUGUCUCCUGCAUUGCCUAAAGACACAGAAACAAACCAAAGGAUCUUAUAUUUAAAUACCUGGCUUUGUGGCUGGUGCUAUCCCAGCACUUUGGGUUUUCUGACAACCAAUAAAUCUACAUAGUACUGGGUUUAUGGGCACCAGAUGAGGUUUGCCUUUCUCAAAGGGAAAGAAGGGUCCUUGGGGAAAAGCUAUCGAGGCUCACUGGAAGGGCUUUAAACAAGGUGAAGGGGGUGCAGGGAUAACGAGACUUCCCAUGAUAAGGUGUGGGAAGACAUAACUAUAUUAGGUCAAGGUUUCAGGGAAACCCAAAGGACCCAUUGUCUUGAGAGGUGAUAGCAACACUGCAGCACAUACAAAACUCUACGAUGAUGAGGCAAUGACUACUGGGGCAGCAGGAGAAUGCAAUGGAGAAAAUCAAGGGAAAUACCUAAAAGGAAUUGAGGAGUCAUCCUUUAAGAAAGUAACAAUACCAGCUGCCCGGCUGAAGUGCCUCUGCACCAACGUGUGCAGCUCGGGAAACAAAAAGAAGGAGCUGGAAGCUACUGUGCUACUAGAAGACCAUAAAUGUAGCUGUCAUUACUGAAACUCUGUGGGAUGGUUGCCACAACUGGAGUGUGGCAACUGAUGACUACAAGCUGUGCAGAAUGGACAGACAAGGAAGGAGGGGAUGGGAUGUUGCUAUCUACAUCAGGAAAGGAAGAGAAUGUGAAGAUCUUUCACUAAAGAACAGUCAUGAGAAAGUCAAAAGCCUAUGGAUGACAGUUAUAGACAGAAGCAGCAAAAAGAGUCUUGUGAUGGGUAUCUACUACAGAUAGUAGUAGAUCUGCCACCAGAUCAGGCAGAGCCUGUUGAUGAGGCCUUCUACCUCAAAUUACAGGAGGCAUCACAAUCACAAGUGCUUGUCCUGCAUGGGGACUUCAACUACCCAGACAUCUAUUGGAAAAGUAGCACAGUGAGCUGUAGGCAACCCAGGAGGCUCCUGCAAUGCACUGACUUCCUGAGUCAAGUAAUAGAACAGCCUCACUAUGGAUGCAGUACUGGACCUGUUGCUCACCUACAUAAAUGAACUGAUCGGUGACAUCAGGAUUGGAGGCUGUCUGGGCUGUAGUGACUAUGCUAUUAUUGGAAAUAUCCAAACAAUUUAUCAAGACGGUGUCUCUGAUAAAAGCAGA
Molecule: long non-coding RNA, 2138 nt
Organism: Phasianus colchicus (ring-necked pheasant)
Lineage: Eukaryota; Metazoa; Chordata; Aves; Galliformes; Phasianidae
Source: RefSeq, a predicted model, not a curated record